UUUUUGUAUCAUGGUCUGGAAGACUCUCCAUAAAGGGGGAAACCAAGGAGGACUGCUGGACAGACCCUUGGGCUGGAAGUCCUGAGUUUGAAUCCUGCUCUGCUCUUUGCAAGCUGAGUGACUUUGAGCCAGCCACUUUUUCUCUUUGGGUCCUUCAUUCUCUCAAAGGGAAAACCAGGGAGUGCUUUCCUUUGGGCAGUGGGGAGGGGGCAAGACCCCUCAGAAUGGUGUGGAAGGUAGGAGACCAAACAUACCAAAAUAUCUGUAAAACCCACCAAGUUCCCAGAGCCAGGGAAGAAGCCCUGCCCGAGAGGAUCUUGAGACCGCUCCCAGCUCCUGGAAGGCUCGCUGUACUUUGGGGCUUGGCAGAGGCCUUGGGGUGGACAGUGUAGCUUUAUAACUUUGCACAAUUGCCCACAGAGCUCUGCCGGGGAAAUUAUUCCCAGAUGUGAAAAGUCUGUCAACAGAAUUUGGAAAGAAAAGCAGCUCUGAAGGGGAGGUUGCAGGUUGACGCUCAGACAUCUCUGCUUUUAUUUUGCAAGGAUUUCAGCCUCCAGUAUAUAGAGGCGCUCUGUCCUCGGAGCCCCAGAGGAGGCUGCCACAUCUCCCCCAGGGCUCUGGGCAUCGCCAAGGGAUCAGGGUGUGUCUUUCCUAAUGGGAUCAGCUUGAGCCGCCAUUGCCAUGCCAGGCUGUUUUCUCCUACUAUUAACCACCAUUCCGUACUUCCUGAGAGAACCCCUUCCUCUGAAUUCUGCCCUUCUAUUGAAGACAAAACAAGAGAAAUUGCAGACCUAUCUUGGACAGCAAACACAGUAUUCCCUGCUGAAGGCUGCUCCCUCACCUCUCCCAGGGCUCCCACUUCCUCAGCUCAACCCUGUUGGACCAUUGCUUUCAUGUCCAUGAUUUUAAUAACUUUGCAUACUCUUCCCUUGGCCAUCGUUGGUUCCCAAAAGCCUUCCUGUGGGUUUCUGAAUUCCUUUAGUUGCCCUUUCCUCUGGCACCAAACCCAGCGUUCCAUUCACAGCUUAUACAGCACAGUGUGUUCUUGUCUCCUCCAAUGGAUGGCUGAGCACUCUGUGGUCAGGCUUUUGCUACCAAAAAGACGCAGUUGUGGAGGUCUGGGUCUAAAUGGAACUUUGUCCUCCUGUGACUGCUUCAAAGGGUGUGAGCAGCCCAGUGACUUUCCUCAGAUAAUCUUCAAAGAUUUUCCAGAAUGGCUGGAAGCAGGCACUGCUGCAUCCAGAGUUUACUAGAGGUCUAGAUUUCCCAUGAUCCUCUCAUCUUUGUCAAACUGAUGGGUGCAAAGGGAAAUCUUGGAGUUAUUUUCAUUUGUAUUUCUCUUCUUUUUAAUGAUCUGGAACAUUCUUUUCCAUGGAAAUGUUGAUUGUUUGCAUCACAAAUUGGGCCUCAUGUUUUGGGGUUGUUUCUCCACAUAUCUUGGAUGUUGGGCGUUUCCCAGUGAUGUUAUUUGGCCAUUUCAUACUCUUUUCUUGGAAGAGAUACUGAAGUAGUUGGCCAUCUCCUUCUCCAGCUCAUUUAUCAGAUGAGAAAACUGAAGCAAACAGAGUAAAGUGACAAAGUAUCUAAGACUAGAUUUGAACUCGGGUCCUCCUGACUCCAAGCCUGGUGCUCUCUCUUCUGUGCCUCCUGGUUGCCCUCCCCAGUGAUAUCUGAUGCGAAAAUAUUUCCUUCAUCAGUUCCUAUUCUAGCUGCAUUGAUGUCAUUUACCCAAAAGCUUUUACAAUGACAAUCAAAAUCUAGUGUGUCUGCUGGGGUUUCCUUUAUGUUUAUUCAUUCACCCUCAAUUCAACACCCGUUUUGAGUAGAUACUCUUUGUAAGGAAAGGGACAAAAAUGAGGCAAUCUGCCCUGGAGGAGUUGGUCUUGUAAAGGGGUGAGAGGAAGACAGACACCUGUUGCACAGGCAAAUCAAUGGAAGAAUUUAUAAAGUAUAUAAGUGUGUAUAUAUAUGUAUAUGUAUAUAUAAUAUCUAGAAAUGAAUUUCCAGAGGGAGGGAGAUGAUGCUGACACUGAGGAGGAGAGCAGGAAAGACCUUGUAUAGGAAGAUGGCCUUGGAAUUGUGCUUUUAAGGAAGUUAGGAGUCCUUUAAAACAGUAGUGAGGAGAGAGCAUCUUCUGCACAGGGGGACUAUUUGUGUUGUCUGUUGGGAAGGGGCAGCAAGCUAGUUUGACUGGAAUGGGGAGAUCUAAUCGGUACCCUCUUUUCUCCCCUCCUUCUCUCUCCUCUCCUCUUCUCUUUUAAAAAAAAAAACUCUUAACUUCUACCUUAGAAUCAAUACUGUGUAUUGGUUCCAAGGUAGAAGGGCAGUAAGGGUUAGGCAAUGGGGGUUAAGUGACUUGCUCAGGGUCACACACCUAGGAAGUGUCUGAGGCUAGAUUUGAACCCAGGACCUCCCAUCUCUAGGCCUGGCUUUCAAUUUACUGAGGGACCCAGUCCCCCCACCCUCACCUUUCUCUUUUUCUGAAUGAUGUGCUGUAAUAGAUUAUUCAUUAUUGGCAUGGGAUAGAAGGAGGAUGGCCAGAGUGGAGGGGGUAGGUUUUGGAAUUUAUUUUAUUUCAUGUUUAAGAAAGUGAUUUAAUCAUCUUGAUAGGGUCCAUAUUGCUUGUGUGGAGUUUGCUAAUCGAACUGCUAUACUGUUUGCAAAGAGGGAUAAUGCCAUGUUUUUAUCUUUAAUUUCUCUGUUUUACUGUUAUGGCUAAUUGCACUGGGACUAUGUGAAAUGCUGCUGAGGAGGCAGGACCCUCUUGCUUUAUUCCUGUGCUGAUUGAGAACAUUUCAAGUGUUUCUCCAUUGAAAGAAGUCUAGCCCUUCAUUGUAGAUGCUGGCUUUUGAGCUCGUUAAAGGGGGCUCUCUCAUGCCCAUCCCUUUUCCUUGGGAUUUGUAAAAACAAAAAGGAUGUCGUCUUUUGUCCCUGGUUUCUCCUGCUUUCUCUAUUGGCAUCAUUCCAAGGUUGUUUGGUAGCUGAAGACGAAUGAUGCUGGUACUGAACUGUCUUCUCCUCCCUGCCAGUCCAGCUUGGCCAUAGCUCUUUGAUCCUUUAGAUUGAUUGCUACGAUCCCUUUGUUCAUUUUAUUUCUACAGUCAGCAGUGAAGGCAGUCCGCGGUCCUCUCUGCCUCCCUCGCUCUUUCCUGGGCUCUCAGGAUAACAGGUGGGCGGUAUAGAUUGUGGCUGGAUGCUUCUUUCUUGCUCCUGUUUUUGCUGCCUGGUUCUAAUCACUUUCUUCAAGUGCGUAAUAGAAUUCUCCUGCAAAUAGAAACCCAGUUAUGCUUUGGACCCCGUCGCCCAUAGAACAAGCCCCUUCCUAGAUCCCCUUCCUGAGGUCUGAUCUCUUACUGUUGCUGGGAGCUGAUGGAGAAGGGCCCCGACUCAUCCUGGUUGGCUCUGUUGGCAGGACGUGUUUACAGAAGAUCGUUUUCAUGGCCAUUAUUAAGCCGAAAUGAGAGACGGUUCACAAAAUAAAAGACAAUGUCAGGGGGAGAGUAAGGAUGCC
Monodelphis domestica (gray short-tailed opossum) is the source of this 3511-nucleotide long non-coding RNA. The record is from Ensembl. NCBI's taxonomy places the organism in Eukaryota, Metazoa, Chordata, Mammalia, Didelphimorphia, Didelphidae.